This is an RNA transcript of Lytechinus variegatus (green sea urchin), 1362 nucleotides long. RefSeq lists it as uncharacterized. The record is from RefSeq and is a predicted model, not a curated record. The transcript is spliced from 3 exons. Lineage: Eukaryota; Metazoa; Echinodermata; Echinoidea; Temnopleuroida; Toxopneustidae.
UUCUGGCAGGGUAUAUGAGAUCGUCGCUGAUUGGCUGCACCUUGCUCAAGCCGAUCUUCGAUCGAUCGAUAUCCGGCCGCGGGACGGUCACACUCACAGGUCGGCAUGUUGGUGAACCUUUCCUGUUUAGCUUAGAUUUCACGUUAUCAUGGUUAUUCAUGCCAACAAGAGCUGCAAACAACUUCUCUAAUUAGUAGAAUGUGGACGGACAUUGCAUUCAUUCCCAUUCAGCCAUUGGACUGAACCGGUACCAAGACCGGAACUGUAACACAGUAAGGAUGGUCAAUAUGAAGCGAGCUUCAUUGAAUUCCUCCAAGAGCUCUGUACUCUGUUCUGAUCAUUUUGAAGAUGCUUGCUUUGACCUGGGCAGACGAUACGUCUUAAACAGGAUGCUGUCCCAACCAUAUUUGAUUUCCCGCCUCGUCUUCAGAAGAAUUCACCCAAACCAAGGUAUUUCCCAAAAGACUUUUCGAUUCAGCAAACAACCUCCCAGAUACUGCAAAGACACCAGUGCCAAAGUCUUCAGCACCUUAAUUUCUCGAAGACCACUCCUACUGAAUACCAGAAAGUCCAAGAGGGGUAAAGUGGAAGUCAACAACAAUAAUGGACUGUAUUAAAACUUGGAGAAGAGGCUGAAAACCACACAGAAGUCCUACCUUAUACAUUACUUGCUUUUAAGUUUGGACAAACAUUGAUUUGCACAACUUUACAACAAAAAAUUUACGCUGUGUGGAUUCUGAUUAUUUAAAAUAGCUCAAUGAAAACGUUUAUCACUGGGCAUGUAACAAAAAUGAAUUCAUUGAAUUUGAAGAUGUCUUACAGUAUAUUCAUUCUGAUUUGAAUGUCAGAAGAGAAAAAAGUUUGUGAAAAGUAGGAAUGACGGCAAGCUGACAGAAGAAUAGAAUACAUGUAGGAUAGAACAAGGCCACAGUUAUAAAUGAGCUGUUGGAUAGAGACAAAAAGAUGAAUUAAGAAUGGGGGUGAUAGAGAAAUAGAGACAGGAAUUGGGGAGCCUGUGAUGAAUGCCUGAGAAAGUAAAAAUUACCAUAUUUUAUUUUUUUAAGGAUUUGAACAGUCAGGAAGAAUGUGGUCUUUUUUCUGUUGUUAUUUCUCAAAAUACUGGUAUGUUUUGUGUACAGAAAGGGGUAUAAUCCUUUGCAAUAAUCACUCUCACAGAAAAUAUUAACUAAUCAAAAGAAAAGUCAAAUAUUUCACUGAUUUACAAUUGUUCGGUCACUCUCAUAUCUAAAGUUACCCCCCCCCCCCCAUCAUUUCAAGGUAUUGGAGAGAGAGGUUGGGCAGGACAUGGCUGUCAGCAGAAAAAAAAUGCAGGGUGGGGCAAAACAAUUUUGGGAUAUGUGC